UUGCACUACAUGGUCUUAUUUUCCCACUUGACAGUCAUAUCUCCCACAUCAAUUGUUGCUGGGUAGUGUUGCCGUUGUAAAUUUGUAACGUUUAUAUGUGACGUGGCAGCGGGAGAAGGAGACUAGCGGAGGCAGAGAGAGGGGUAGCUUGCUUCUGUGCCCGUUACAGUUCGUUUUUUACCUUUUUUUUUUGUGUUUCGCUUCACGGCAAGACACGAGCGAGGUUCUUCAAGGUUGGAGUGAAUGAAGACGCGGGAGAAAGGGAGACAGGAAUGCUCGCUAUCCCUUACCAUAACAGCGACGGAGCUUGAUGAGAUUGCUGGAAGCGAACGAGGACUCAAAGUAGGGGCUCUCGCUCAUGACUUCGCAGCGGUACACCCCCUCGGAAUCCAGGCGCAGCUCCCUCAGGGUCACCACGCGCUCGUCCGACUGGGAAAGCUGUGGGGAAAAACGAGGCGCGAAGAACCGGGAGUGUUAGACACUCCAGCCUCGCCUGCCGCCCCGCCACUCCUGGCUGCGGCACCUUGACGUUGUGGACUUGAACCCCCAGUGCUCCUAGUUGAAUGUAAGCCCAGCCUGAAUGGGAGGCGAGGGAGGGACAGACGUAGGCGAGAA
Scylla paramamosain (green mud crab) is the source of this 615-nucleotide long non-coding RNA. RefSeq lists it as uncharacterized. The record is from RefSeq and is a predicted model, not a curated record. The transcript is spliced from 4 exons. NCBI's taxonomy places the organism in Eukaryota, Metazoa, Arthropoda, Malacostraca, Decapoda, Portunidae.